This 2771-nucleotide ribosomal RNA is filed under the name Cronobacter sakazakii. Its description in RNAcentral is "bacterial LSU rRNA". It matches the Rfam family "Bacterial large subunit ribosomal RNA". Lineage: Bacteria; Pseudomonadati; Pseudomonadota; Gammaproteobacteria; Enterobacterales; Enterobacteriaceae. The record is from RNAcentral.
AGCGUACACGGUGGAUGCCCUGGCAGUCAGAGGCGAUGAAGGACGUGCUAAUCUGCGAAAAGCGCCGGUAAGGUGAUAUGAACCGUUAUAACCGGCGAUGUCCGAAUGGGGAAACCCGGUGCACUUCGGUGCAUCAUCGUUAGCUGAAUACAUAGGCUAACGAGGCGAACCGGGGGAACUGAAACAUCUAAGUACCCCGAGGAAAAGAAAUCAACCGAGAUUCCCCCAGUAGCGGCGAGCGAACGGGGAACAGCCCAGAGCCUGAAUCAGCUUGUGUGUCAGUGGAACGGUCUGGAAAGGCCGGCGAUACAGGGUGACAGCCCCGUACACGAAGGCACACAGGCUGUGAGCUCGAUGAGUAGGGCGGGACACGUGAUAUCCUGUCUGAAGAUGGGGGGACCAUCCUCCAAGGCUAAAUACUCCUGACUGACCGAUAGUGAACCAGUACCGUGAGGGAAAGGCGAAAAGAACCCCGGCGAGGGGAGUGAAACAGAACCUGAAACCGUGUACGUACAAGCAGUGGGAGCCUUCGUAAGAGGGUGACUGCGUACCUUUUGUAUAAUGGGUCAGCGACUUAUAUUCUGUAGCAAGGUUAACCGUAUAGGGGAGCCGAAGGGAAACCGAGUCUUAACCGGGCGUUAAGUUGCAGGGUAUAGACCCGAAACCCGGUGAUCUAGCCAUGGGCAGGUUGAAGGUUGGGUAACACUAACUGGAGGACCGAACCGACUAAUGUUGAAAAAUUAGCGGAUGACCUGUGGCUGGGGGUGAAAGGCCAAUCAAACCGGGAGAUAGCUGGUUCUCCCCGAAAGCUAUUUAGGUAGCGCCUCGUGAACUCAUCUCCGGGGGUAGAGCACUGUUUCGGCUAGGGGGCCAUCCCGGCUUACCAACCCGAUGCAAACUGCGAAUACCGGAGAAUGUUAUCACGGGAGACACACGGCGGGUGCUAACGUCCGUCGUGAAGAGGGAAACAACCCAGACCGCCAGCUAAGGUCCCAAAGUCAUGGUUAAGUGGGAAACGAUGUGGGAAGGCCCAGACAGCCAGGAUGUUGGCUUAGAAGCAGCCAUCAUUUAAAGAAAGCGUAAUAGCUCACUGGUCGAGUCGGCCUGCGCGGAAGAUGUAACGGGGCUAAACCAUGCACCGAAGCUGCGGCAGCGACACUAUGUGUUGUUGGGUAGGGGAGCGUUCUGUAAGCCUGUGAAGGUGUGCUGUGAGGCAUGCUGGAGGUAUCAGAAGUGCGAAUGCUGACAUAAGUAACGAUAAAGCGGGUGAAAAGCCCGCUCGCCGGAAGACCAAGGGUUCCUGUCCAACGUUAAUCGGGGCAGGGUGAGUCGACCCCUAAGGCGAGGCCGAAAGGCGUAGUCGAUGGGAAACAGGUUAAUAUUCCUGUACUUGGUGUUACUGCGAAGGGGGGACGGAGAAGGCUAUGUCGGCCGGGCGACGGUUGUCCCGGUUUAAGCGUGUAGGCUGACUUUCCAGGCAAAUCCGGAAGGUUAAGGCUGAGGCGUGAUGACGAGGCACCACGGUGCUGAAGUGACAAAUGCCCUGCUUCCAGGAAAAGCCUCUAAGCAUCAGGUAACAUCAAAUCGUACCCCAAACCGACACAGGUGGUCAGGUAGAGAAUACCAAGGCGCUUGAGAGAACUCGGGUGAAGGAACUAGGCAAAAUGGUGCCGUAACUUCGGGAGAAGGCACGCUGACAUGUAGGUGAAGCCCCUGCGGGUGGAGCUGAAGUCAGUCGAAGAUACCAGCUGGCUGCAACUGUUUAUUAAAAACACAGCACUGUGCAAACACGAAAGUGGACGUAUACGGUGUGACGCCUGCCCGGUGCCGGAAGGUUAAUUGAUGGGGUUAUCGCAAGAGAAGCUCCUGAUCGAAGCCCCGGUAAACGGCGGCCGUAACUAUAACGGUCCUAAGGUAGCGAAAUUCCUUGUCGGGUAAGUUCCGACCUGCACGAAUGGCGUAAUGAUGGCCAGGCUGUCUCCACCCGAGACUCAGUGAAAUUGAACUCGCUGUGAAGAUGCAGUGUACCCGCGGCAAGACGGAAAGACCCCGUGAACCUUUACUACAGCUUGACACUGAACAUUGAGCCUUGAUGUGUAGGAUAGGUGGGAGGCUUUGAAGCGUGGACGCCAGUCUGCGUGGAGCCGACCUUGAAAUACCACCCUUUAAUGUUUGAUGUUCUAACCUGGCGCCGUGAUCCGGCGUGGGGACAGUGUCUGGUGGGUAGUUUGACUGGGGCGGUCUCCUCCCAAAGUGUAACGGAGGAGCACGAAGGUCAGCUAAUCCUGGUCGGACAUCAGGAGGUUAGUGCAAUGGCAUAAGCUGGCUUGACUGCGAGAGUGACGGCUCGAGCAGGUGCGAAAGCAGGUCAUAGUGAUCCGGUGGUUCUGUAUGGAAGGGCCAUCGCUCAACGGAUAAAAGGUACUCCGGGGAUAACAGGCUGAUACCGCCCAAGAGUUCAUAUCGACGGCGGUGUUUGGCACCUCGAUGUCGGCUCAUCACAUCCUGGGGCUGAAGUAGGUCCCAAGGGUAUGGCUGUUCGCCAUUUAAAGUGGUACGCGAGCUGGGUUUAGAACGUCGUGAGACAGUUCGGUCCCUAUCUGCCGUGGGCGCUGGAGAAUUGAGGGGGGCUGCUCCCAGUACGAGAGGACCGGAGUGGACGCAUCACUGGUGUUCGGGUUGUCAUGCCAAUGGCACUGCCCGGUAGCUAAAUGCGGAAGAGAUAAGUGCUGAAAGCAUCUAAGCACGAAACUUGCCCCGAGAUGAGUUCU